UACGUAGGUGGCAAGCGUUGUUCGGAAUUAUUGGGCGUAAAGGGCGCGUAGGCGGUUUGUUAAGUCAGUUGUGAAAGCCCGGGGCUCAACCCCGGAGAGUCGACUGAUACUGGCAGACUAGAGUACGGAAGAGGUAGCUGGAAUUCCCGGUGUAGCGGUGAAAUGCGUAGAUAUCGUAAGGAAGACCAGUGGCGAAGGCGGGUCUCUGGACAGUUCCUGACGCUGAGGCACGAAGGUCAGGGGAGCAAACGGG
Molecule: ribosomal RNA, 253 nt
Filed under: uncultured bacterium
Lineage: Bacteria
Description: partial 16S ribosomal RNA
Rfam family: Bacterial small subunit ribosomal RNA
Source: RNAcentral